Long non-coding RNA from Cydia strobilella, 401 nucleotides. RefSeq lists it as uncharacterized. The record is from RefSeq and is a predicted model, not a curated record. NCBI's taxonomy places the organism in Eukaryota, Metazoa, Arthropoda, Insecta, Lepidoptera, Tortricidae. The transcript has 3 exons.
CUUUCAUAUUCAUUUUCCUGGAAGUCAAGAACUUGGGGCAUAUGCUCGUGCUGGCAGGAGAACUUGGCCUCAGGGUCUGUUUUGGAGGAGCAAGAGGAAACAUGCAGUCAGUUGUGCCCUGGAGCACGAGCUGCUAAGGAGACCGGUGAGAAGCUAUCGGACCCUAGCUCGGAGGAAAACAGUCGUCGGGUACGACUGGAGCCGGACAGAGCCAGUGUGCGCGAGCGCAGCGCGUGCGCUGUACGAGUUCACGUUUCCGACACCGGCGCGCAGCUAGGGACACACCGCACUGUGUUGCAAUUAAUUUUGGAGAGCAUACCAAUAGAAAGCUUCAAAUUUGAAUGCCAACCGAAUAUCGUAUGCACAAGAAUAGUGGAUGAAGUUAGCCCUGAUGGAAAAGU